AUUGAACGCUGGCGGCAUGCUUUACACAUGCAAGUCGAACGGGGUGAAGGGGCAACUCUUCAUUCAGUGGCGAACGGGUGAGUAAUGCAUCGGAACGUACCUCGUAGUGGGGAGUAACUCGGCGAAAGCCGUGCUAAUACCGCAUAUGCUCUACGGAGGAAAGCAGGGACCGUGAGAGGGCCUUGUGCUAUGGGAGCGGCCGAUGUCCGAUUAGCUAGUUGGNGGGGUAAUGGCCUACCAAGGCGACGAUCGGUAGCUGGUCUGAGAGGAUGAUCAGACCACCACUGGGACUGAGACACGGCCCAGACUCCUACGGGAGGC
This 321-nucleotide ribosomal RNA is filed under the name uncultured bacterium. RNAcentral's name for it is "bacterial SSU rRNA". It matches the Rfam family "Bacterial small subunit ribosomal RNA", at positions 30 to 349 of the family's 1533-position model. The record is from RNAcentral.